ACAAGAUAAACAUCAAAUUCAUAGGAGUGCCAAACAGGGACCGUUUAAUCGAAAGGACUUCUCUGAUGACAGAGAUGUGGAAAAGACUACGUCCUUCUCUGGAAAACUACAAGGAUAAAAUACCCACCUUCUUCGGGAAAAAGUCCAUCAUAUGCGAAAGGAAACUUACUCACGUGCGAAAGACGAACUCUAAGAAUUGGAGAAUAACGGCAGUAGACAGCAGCUAACCUCCCCCUUGCUCAACGACAUUGAACAAUAGACAUGAAAUGACUCGCUGACCCCCUACAAAGUACUUGUGCUCGGAGGCAGAAUUUGGCAUCGUUUGGGUCGAGAGAUUUCCAAGGGUAAUGAUACAGUUAAACUGUAUAAAAAUACCUCUCAAAAACAACCUUCUCUUGGUCGGCCAUGUCCCUCAUCCUGCACUUGACCCCUGCAGAGGUCACAAGAACAUCGGAGCACAAAUGAGCGAGAAACGGGGAAGCCUUAGCUUCCGGGUCAAGGACUGCAUCACUAGCACCUACCUAUUGAACCUAUUGAUAGGUUUAAAAGUAGGCAUCUUCACGCAAUCUGCGGACC
Bolinopsis microptera is the source of this 576-nucleotide long non-coding RNA. RefSeq lists it as uncharacterized. Lineage: Eukaryota; Metazoa; Ctenophora; Tentaculata; Lobata; Bolinopsidae. The transcript has 3 exons. The record is from RefSeq and is a predicted model, not a curated record.